RNAcentral lists this ribosomal RNA (408 nucleotides) under uncultured bacterium. RNAcentral's name for it is "partial 16S ribosomal RNA". It matches the Rfam family "Bacterial small subunit ribosomal RNA", at positions 28 to 526 of the family's 1533-position model. The record is from RNAcentral.
GACGAACGCUGGCGGCGUGCUUAACACAUGCAAGUCGAACGGAGUGGCGAACGGGUGAGUAACACGUGGGUGACCUGCCCUGCACUUCGGGAUAAGCCUGGGAAACUGGGUCUAAUACCGGAAAGUGUGGGAUGGGCCGGCGGCCUAUCAGCUUGUUGGCAGGGUAAUGGCCUACGAAGGCGGCGACGGGUAGCCGGCCUGAGAGGUUGGACGGCCAAAUUGGGACUGGUACACGGCGCAGGGUGCUACGGGAGGCAGCAGUGGGGAAGAUGGCACAGUGGGCGGGAGCCUGAUGCAGCGACGCCGCGUGGGUGAUGACGGCCUUCGGGUUGUAAACUCCUUUCACCAUCGACGCGGUAGAUGGAGAAGAAGCACCGGCUAACUACGUGCCAGCCGCCGCGGUAAUAC